This 253-nucleotide ribosomal RNA is filed under the name uncultured bacterium. Its description in RNAcentral is "partial 16S ribosomal RNA". It matches the Rfam family "Bacterial small subunit ribosomal RNA", at positions 524 to 776 of the family's 1533-position model. The record is from RNAcentral.
UACAGAGGUGGCAAGCGUUGUUCGGAAUUACUGGGCGUAAAGGGCGCGUAGGCGGCCUUCUAAGUCAGACGUGAAAUCCCCCGGCUUAACCUGGGAACUGCGUCUGAUACUGGGAGGCUUGAGUAUGGGAGAGGGAUGUAGAAUUCCAGGUGUAGCGGUGAAAUGCGUAGAUAUCUGGAGGAAUACCGGUGGCGAAGGCGGCAUCCUGGACCGACAUUGACGCUGAUGAGCGAAAGCUAGGGGAGCAAACGGG